Molecule: ribosomal RNA, 289 nt
Filed under: uncultured Chitinophagaceae bacterium
Lineage: Bacteria; Pseudomonadati; Bacteroidota; Chitinophagia; Chitinophagales; Chitinophagaceae
Description: partial 16S ribosomal RNA
Source: RNAcentral
CUACUCGGGUUUCUAAUCCUGUUUGCUCCCCACGCUUUCGUGCCUCAGUGUCAAUGACCGUGUAGCAAGCUGCCUUCGCAAUUGGUGUUCUAUGUCAUAUCUAAGCAUUUCACCGCUACAUGACAUAUUCCGCUUACCUCCACGAUAUUCAAGACUAAUAGUAUCAAUGGCAGUUCCCAAGUUAAGCUCGGGGAUUUCACCACGGACUUACUAGCCCACCUACGCACCCUUUAAACCCAGUGAAUCCGGAUAACGCUUGCACCCUCCGUAUUACCGCGGCUGCUGGCAC